This 362-nucleotide ribosomal RNA is filed under the name uncultured bacterium. Its description in RNAcentral is "partial 16S ribosomal RNA". It matches the Rfam family "Bacterial small subunit ribosomal RNA", at positions 338 to 697 of the family's 1533-position model. The record is from RNAcentral.
CCUACGGGAGGCAGCAGUGAGGAAUAUUGGUCAAUGGCCGGAAGGCUGAACCAGCCAAGCCGCGUGCAGGAAGACGGCUCUAUGAGUUGUAAACUGCUUUUGUACGAGGGUAAACGCAGAUACGCGUAUCUGUCUGAAAGUAUCGUACGAAUAAGGAUCGGCCAACUUCGCGCCAGCAGCCGCGGUAAUACGGAGGAUUCAAGCGUUAUCCGGAUUUAUUGGGUUUAAAGGGUGCGUAGGCGGUCGGUUAAGUUAGAGGUGAAAUCCCGGGGCUCAACUUCGGAAUUGCAUCUGAUACUGGUCAGCUAGAGAGUAGUUGCGGUAGGCGGAAUGUAUGGUGUAGCGGUGAAAUGCUUAGAGAU